CUGCUGCAUUGGGAUGCUUAGUCUGCAGGGCGAAGAGAGAGGAGGGGGCGAUGGCGUUGGAGGGGUGUGCGGUGGGGAGGGAAGGAGGGGGGUGGAGGGAGUGAGGGGAGAGCUGGGAGCAAGGGUCUCCGUUCACCUUGUGUCGCGUCAAAAACAGAUGGCUUGUUCCUGUAGCAGGAGAGAGGGGAUCUCCUAUCGCUCUGUCCCAAUCCCAGAGGAGGGUAGCAUGGAAAACCGAGACAGGGAGGAGAGAGGCAGCAGCAGUGUGGGCAGACACAGACGCAGAGGAUACAGAGGAUACACCACAGAUCCUGCAGAAGGGGGAGCACCGAGACCCAGGUAAAGGGGAACCAAGACUUUCCCGGCUGGACAGAAGCAGCCCUCUCUGAAUGGUCGUUAGCCGGCAGCCGAGACACCCUGCUGGGAUCGACAACGCGGCGCUGGCUGGGGUGCCCUGCCUGCCACCCUGAGAGGGGGCCCCGUG
Molecule: long non-coding RNA, 484 nt
Filed under: Gadus morhua (Atlantic cod)
Lineage: Eukaryota; Metazoa; Chordata; Actinopteri; Gadiformes; Gadidae
Description: lncRNA (ENSGMOG00000026135.1)
Source: RNAcentral